AUUGAACGCUGGCGGCAGGCCUAACACAUGCAAGUCGAACGGUAACAGGAAGCAGCUUGCUGCUUCGCUGACGAGUGGCGGACGGGUGAGUAAUGUCUGGGAAACUGCCCGAUGGAGGGGGAUAACUACUGGAAACGGUAGCUAAUACCGCAUAACGUCGCAAGACCAAAGAGGGGGACCUUCGGGCUUCUUGCCAUCGGAUGUGCCCAGAUGGGAUUAGCUUGUUGGUGAGGUAACGGCUCACCAAGGCGACGAUCCCUAGCUGGUCUGAGAGGAUGACCAGCCACACUGGAACUGAGACACGGUCCAGACUCCUACGGGAGGCAGCAGUGGGGAAUAUUGCACAAUGGGCGCAAGCCUGAUGCAGCCAUGCCGCGUGUAUGAAGAAGGCCUUCGGGUUGUAAAGUACUUUCAGCGGGGAGGAAGGUGUUGUGGUUAAUAACCGCAGCAAUUGACGUUACCCGCAGAAGAAGCACCGGCUAACUCCGUGCCAGCAGCCGCAGUAA
This 506-nucleotide ribosomal RNA is filed under the name uncultured bacterium. Its description in RNAcentral is "partial 16S ribosomal RNA". It matches the Rfam family "Bacterial small subunit ribosomal RNA", at positions 30 to 523 of the family's 1533-position model. The record is from RNAcentral.